GAUCAUGGCUCAGGAUGAACGCUGGCGGCGUGCUUAACACAUGCAGGUCGAACGAAACACCUUAUUUGAUUUUCUUCGGAACUGAAGAUUUGGUGAUUGAGUGGCGGACGGGUGAGUAACGCGUGGGUAACCUACCCUGUACAGGGGGGAUAACAGCCAAGAAAUGACUGACUAAUACCGCAAUAACGACCACAGCCACCGCAGUGGUGCGAAGGGGUAAAACUCCGGUGGUACAGGAUCGGACCCGCGU
This 250-nucleotide ribosomal RNA is filed under the name uncultured bacterium. RNAcentral describes it as "partial 16S ribosomal RNA". It matches the Rfam family "Bacterial small subunit ribosomal RNA", at positions 15 to 236 of the family's 1533-position model. The record is from RNAcentral.